CCUACGGGUGACAGCAGUGGGGGAUAUUGCACAAUGGGGGAAACCCUGAUGCAGCGACGCCGCGUGGGUGAAGAAGCGCCUCGGCGCGUAAAGCCCUGUCAGCAGGGAAGAAAAUGACGGUACCUGAAGAAGAAGCCCCGGCUAACUACGUGCCAGCAGCCGCGGUAAUACGUAGGGGGCAAGCGUUAUCCGGAUUUACUGGGUGUAAAGGGGUCGAAGACGGCGAUGCAAGCCAGGAGUGAAAGCCCGGGGCCCAACCCCGGGACUGCUCGUGGAACUGCGUGGCUAGAGUGCAGGAGGGGCAGGCGGAAUUCCUGGUGUAGCGGUGAAAUGCGUAGAUAUCAGGAGGAACACCGGUGGCGAAGGCGGCCUGCUGGACUGCAACUGACGUUGAGGCCCGAAAGCGUGGGGAGCAAACAGGAUUAGAUACCCGAGUAGUC
Molecule: ribosomal RNA, 440 nt
Filed under: uncultured bacterium
Lineage: Bacteria
Description: partial 16S ribosomal RNA
Rfam family: Bacterial small subunit ribosomal RNA
Source: RNAcentral